GCGUUGGUGGUAGAGUGGUGAGCAUAGCUGCCUUCCAGGCAGUUGACCCAGGUUUGGUUCCUGGCCCACGCA
This 72-nucleotide transfer RNA is filed under the name Leptosomus discolor (cuckoo roller). It matches the Rfam family "tRNA". From Rfam's summary of the family: Transfer RNA (tRNA) molecules are approximately 80 nucleotides in length. Their secondary structure includes four short double-helical elements and three loops (D, anti-codon, and T loops). Lineage: Eukaryota; Metazoa; Chordata; Aves; Leptosomiformes; Leptosomidae. The record is from Rfam by way of RNAcentral.